This is a long non-coding RNA of Siniperca chuatsi (mandarin fish), 344 nucleotides long. RefSeq lists it as uncharacterized. NCBI's taxonomy places the organism in Eukaryota, Metazoa, Chordata, Actinopteri, Centrarchiformes, Sinipercidae. The record is from RefSeq and is a predicted model, not a curated record. The transcript is spliced from 3 exons.
AGGGCGUUAGCUAGCAGUAACUACUAACACCAAUACACCAUUUCCAGUUUUCGUGAGAUUAAGUGCUAACUGGGGAAUCAGUCGAAUGAUAAAUAUACAACCACUGCAAUUAGCGUACUCCUCACAAAAUAAUGUGUGUAAGAGGUGUGCUCGGUUUUCGGACAGAACGUGCCGACGGGUGACAGCUGUGCAGGAGAUGAGGAAAAUGUACGCGAAGCCGACCGCCUGGCUGUCUCUCCACAGCAGUUUGCAGCUCUCUGUGCGGGGGUGCAGGGAGAACAACACCUCCUCCUGUGAGGACCUCUCCACUACCUGACUGAGCAGGAACACAAUCACCCUCUCCA